Molecule: long non-coding RNA, 1113 nt
Filed under: Coturnix japonica (Japanese quail)
Lineage: Eukaryota; Metazoa; Chordata; Aves; Galliformes; Phasianidae
Description: lncRNA (ENSCJPG00005001697.1)
Source: RNAcentral
GCCCCCCCCACCCUAAAGCUUCCCCCCCCACCUGAAAACCAACCCCCCCGGCCCUAUAGCGCCCCCAUCCCCCGCCAUCCCCUGCGCUGGGCCGUAUCCCCCCCCCCCCGCUGACCCCAAAUACCGGCCGUGCCUUGUCCCCACCCCCGGCCCCAUAUGGGCUGUGCCCUGUCCCGGUUCCGACCCCAUAAAGGCCGUGCCUUGUCCCGGUUCCGUCCCUAUAUCGCCCAUGCUUUGUCCCGGUUCCAUCCCCAUAAAGGCCGUGCUUGGUCCCGGUCCCGGUCCCAAAUGGGCCAUGCCUUGUCCCGGUUCUGUCCCUAUAUCGCCCGUGCCUUGCCCCGGUUCCGUCCCCCCACAUGGGCUGUGCUUUGUCCCGGUUCGGUCCCCAUAUCGUCCGUGCCCUGUCCCGGUUCCGACCCCAUAAAGGCCGUGCCUUGUCCCGGUUCCGUCCCUAUAUCGGCCAUGCCUUGCCCCGGUUCCGACCCCAAAUGGGCCGUGCCCUGUCCCGGUUCCGACCCCAUAAGGGCCGUGCUUGGUCCCGGUCCCAAAUGGGCCAUGCCUUGUCCCGGUUCUGCCCCUAUAUCGCCCGUGCCUUGUCCCGGUUCCGUCACCCCACAUGGGCUGUGCUUUGUCCCGGUUCGGUUCCCAUAUCGGCUGUGCCUUGGUCCGGUUCCGUCCCCCCAUAAAAGCCGUGCUUGGUCCCGGUUCCGACCCCACAAAGGCCGUGCCUUGUCCCGGUUCUGUCCCCAAAUGGGCCGUGCUUUGUCCCGGUUCCGACCCCAUAAAGGCCGUGCCUUGUCCCGGUUCUGUCCCCAAAUGGGCCGUGCCUUGUCCCGGUUCCGACCCCAUAAAGGCCGUGCUUGGUCCCGGUUCGGUCCCCGGUCCCGGUUCCGUCCCCAUAUCAGCCGUGCCCCCCCCCCCAUAAUGACAAGGUCCCGGUCCCGGUUCCGGUUGGGGUUUAUUGGGGGGGUCCCGUCCGGGCUGUUCGCUCCCGAACCCAAUAAAGAUCCUGACGGUACCGAACCGGACCGGACCGAGGGNNNNNNNNNNNNNNNNNNNNNNNNNUGGGGUGGGUAUGGGGUGGUUGUGGGGUAUGGGGUGGGUAUGGGGUGA